Non-coding RNA from Arachis ipaensis, 235 nucleotides. Lineage: Eukaryota; Viridiplantae; Streptophyta; Magnoliopsida; Fabales; Fabaceae. The record is from RefSeq and is a predicted model, not a curated record.
CUUAAGCCUGUGGCUAGAGGAUGGUUGGAGUUUAUCCCUGAGUUACUGCCCAGAACCACCACUGUGGCUGCCGCUGGGAUUGUGAACGGUGGAAGGAGACGCUGGUUCUGUCACAGCCAUUCCUGAAGGAGAAAUCAGCCGCGCCGCCGCACCUUUGGCACUGGGAAACGCCACUACCGCGGCCGAGUUCCACCGCCGGUAAGAGUUUUAAGUUUGGUUUCUGUUAAUUUGGGUU